UACGUAGGGCGCAAGCGUUGUCCGGAAUUAUUGGGCGUAAAGAGCUCGUAGGCGGUCUGUCGCGUCUGUUGUGAAAACUCGAGGCUUAACUCCGGGCCUGCAGUGGGUACGGGCAGACUAGAGUGCGGUAGGGGAGACUGGAAUUCCUGGUGUAGCGGUGAAAUGCGCAGAUAUCAGGAGGAACACCGGUGGCGAAGGCGGGUCUCUGGGCCGUAACUGACGCUGAGGAGCGAAAGCGUGGGGAGCGAACAGG
This 253-nucleotide ribosomal RNA is filed under the name uncultured bacterium. RNAcentral's name for it is "partial 16S ribosomal RNA". It matches the Rfam family "Bacterial small subunit ribosomal RNA", at positions 524 to 776 of the family's 1533-position model. The record is from RNAcentral.